This 450-nucleotide ribosomal RNA is filed under the name uncultured Scutellospora. RNAcentral describes it as "SSU rRNA". It matches the Rfam family "Eukaryotic small subunit ribosomal RNA", at positions 569 to 1027 of the family's 1831-position model. The record is from RNAcentral. Lineage: Eukaryota; Fungi; Glomeromycota; Glomeromycetes; Diversisporales; Gigasporaceae.
AGCAGCCGCGGUAAUUCCAGCUCCAAUAGCGUAUAUUAAAGUUGUUGCAGUUAAAAAGCUCGUAGUUGAAUUUCGGGGUUCUACCGUUGGUCGGGCUAUUGUUUGUACUGGCGUGUAGAAUUUCUACCUUCUGGGGAACUAUCAUGUUAUUAAUUUAGCGUGGUAGGAAACCAGGACCUUUACCUUGAAAAAUUAGAGUGUUCAAAGCAGGCUUAUGUCUGAAUACAUUAGCAUGGAAUAAUAAAAUAGGACGGUGGUCCUGUUUUGUUGGUUUCUGAAUCACCGUAAUGAUUAAUAGGGAUAGUUGGGGGCAUUAGUAUUCAAUUGUCAGAGGUGAAAUUCUUGGAUUUAUUGAAGACUAACUACUGCGAAAGCAUUUGCCAAGGAUGUUUUCAUUAAUCAAGAACGAAAGUUAGGGGAUCGAAGACGAUCAGAUACCGUCGUAGUCUU